UGCAGUCGAACGGCAGCGGGGACUUCGGUCCGCCGGCGAGUGGCGAACGGGUGAGUAAUGCAUCGGAACGUGCCUAUCAGUGGGGGAUAACGCUUCGAAAGGAGUGCUAAUACCGCAUAUUCUCUGAGGAGAAAAGCAGGGGACCUUAGGGCCUUGCGCUGAUAGAGCGGCCGAUGUCGGAUUAGCUAGUUGGUGAGGUAAAGGCUCACCAAGGCGACGAUCCGUAGCGGGUCUGAGAGGAUGAUCCGCCACACUGGGACUGAGACACGGCCCAGACUCCUACGGGAGGCAGCAGUGGGGAAUUUUGGACAAUGGGCGAAAGCCUGAUCCAGCCAUGCCGCGUGAGUGAAGAAGGCCUUCGGGUUGUAAAGCUCUUUUGUCCGGGAGGAAAUCCUGGCCUCUAAUACAGGUCGGGGAUGACAGUACUGGAAGAAUAAGCACCGGCUAACUACGUGCCAGC
RNAcentral lists this ribosomal RNA (460 nucleotides) under activated sludge bacterium KA11. RNAcentral describes it as "bacterial SSU rRNA". It matches the Rfam family "Bacterial small subunit ribosomal RNA", at positions 56 to 512 of the family's 1533-position model. The record is from RNAcentral.